This is a long non-coding RNA of Solea senegalensis (Senegalese sole), 796 nucleotides long. RefSeq lists it as uncharacterized. The record is from RefSeq and is a predicted model, not a curated record. The transcript has 3 exons. NCBI's taxonomy places the organism in Eukaryota, Metazoa, Chordata, Actinopteri, Pleuronectiformes, Soleidae.
CCCAAUUUUUGAGUUGAGAGAAUUUAAAUGUUCAUACAUUUUACUCAUUCUUAAAUUCAAAGGGACCAAUCUGCCAUCUUCCAGCGUGUACGCGUGUAUGGCAGGUUAGCAGCAUCAGCAGCAUGAAUCUACAAUGUGGUUUCCAAACUGAGCAAUAGCACAAAGAGAAGCUCUGUUCCCCCACUGAUGAGCCAGCACAAACUGCCAGCCCCCUCACUGAAUCAUUCCUCUAGUAAAUGUCCUUCACCAUUGGCUUUUAUGCAGCACAGCUCCCUCGCCCAGACUUCAGGCACUGUAAACGGCAAGCAGGGUCAGAGUAAUUGAAAUCAUUAAUCGUGUUUUAUUCCACUUUGGGGCAAAGUAAGCUUGAAUUGGAAAGAGAUAGUGUCAUGUGGAGAGACUGGAAGUGAAUGGUGCUGUUUGAACGAGGCCUGUCCCGGCAACUGGAACUGACCUGUAUUCAGAGACGAACCCAAACCGACAUAUUCAAUUUUAAGGCCAACGAUAUCAGCUUGUGUCCGGGCCUGCUCGAGUUUCAACAUCGGUAGACGUGCUGGAUGAAGACUCAAAGCCCAUUUGUCCACUCAAGCUGCUCACAAUCCAGGUUGACUCUGCCUCUGAUGGCCAAAAAAAGCUGUGAAAACAAAAAGUCAAAUAUUAAAAUGAAUAAGCUAAUAAAAAAAUUGUUCUUCCAGUAGGUCUGAACCAAACAUCGCUCUAAUUCAUCUGCCAAAGAAUGUAUCACUGAGUUGAAAAAGUACACACACAGAAUAAUAAUCUUGUCUGUUAAAAUCUA